GAUGAACGCUAGCGGCAGGCCUAACACAUGCAAGUCGAGGGGCAGCAUAAAAUUAGCUUGCUAAUUUGGUGGCGACCGGCGCACGGGUGCGUAACGCGUAUGCAACCUACCUUAUACUGGGGGAUAGCCCGGAGAAAUUCGGAUUAAUACCCCAUAGCAUUAUUGGAUCGCAUGGUUUGAUAAUUAAAGGUUACGGUAUAAGAUGGGCAUGCGUCCUAUUAGCUAGAUGGUGAGGUAACGGCUCACCAUGGCGACGAUAGGUAGGGGCCUGAGAGGGUGGUCCCCACACUGGUACUGAGACACGGACCAGACUCCUACGGGAGGCAGCAGUGAGGAAUAUUGGUCAAUGGGCGCAAGCCUGAACCAGCCAUGCCGCGUGCAGGACGACUGCCCUAUGGGUGUAAACUUCUUUUGUAUAGGGAUAAACCUUUCCACGUGUGGAAAGCUGAAGGUACUAUACGAAUAAGCACCGGCUAACUCCGUGCCAGCAGCCG
Molecule: ribosomal RNA, 494 nt
Filed under: uncultured bacterium
Lineage: Bacteria
Description: bacterial SSU rRNA
Rfam family: Bacterial small subunit ribosomal RNA
Source: RNAcentral